RNAcentral lists this ribosomal RNA (495 nucleotides) under uncultured bacterium. RNAcentral describes it as "partial 16S ribosomal RNA". It matches the Rfam family "Bacterial small subunit ribosomal RNA", at positions 28 to 507 of the family's 1533-position model. The record is from RNAcentral.
GACGAACGCUGGCGGCGUGCCUAAUACAUGCAAGUAGACCGCUGAAGGAGGAGCUUGCUUCUCCGGAUGAGUUGCGAACGGGUGAGUAACGCGUAGGUAACCUGCCUGGUAGCGGGGGAUAACUAUUGGAAACGAUAGCUAAUACCGCAUAACAGUAGAUGUUGCAUGACAUUUGCUUAAAAGGUGCAAUUGCAUCACUACCAGAUGGACCUGCGUUGUAUUAGCUAGUUGGUGAGGUAACGGCUCACCAAGGCGACGAUACAUAGCCGACCUGAGAGGGUGAUCGGCCACACUGGGACUGAGACACGGCCCAGACUCCUACGGGAGGCAGCAGUAGGGAAUCUUCGGCAAUGGACGGAAGUCUGACCGAGCAACGCCGCGUGAGUGAAGAAGGUUUUCGGAUCGUAAAGCUCUGUUGUAAGAGAAGAACGAGUGUGAGAGUGGAAAGUUCACACUGUGACGGUAUCUUACCAGAAAGGGACGGCUAACUACGUG